Drosophila pseudoobscura is the source of this 1459-nucleotide long non-coding RNA. RefSeq lists it as uncharacterized. NCBI's taxonomy places the organism in Eukaryota, Metazoa, Arthropoda, Insecta, Diptera, Drosophilidae. The transcript has 2 exons. The record is from RefSeq and is a predicted model, not a curated record.
GGGUAUGCUAUAGCCGGGCACUUGGAAUAACUGUAAAUUAAAAAAGGAGGGGAGAGAGAAAUAGAUGAGUAUCCAAUUGGACCAAAAUGGAAACCCACCUAACCAGCCAGGCACCAACACAUUUGCUCCCCACCCUACAAAAAAUAUCAAGCAAGAAGAUAAACAUACGCAUACACACACAUGCACAUCGUGCGCUGGCAGCACAAGUUCAAGGUAUAGUAAUAAGAAGGUAAGGAUUUUCACUAGAGCGUAAACAAAUGUUCGCAUGGGUUUCAGAAGUAUAGCGGAACUGCCCCACCUUAUAUUUAAUAUACUUUGCGCAAGUAAUUUUGUUGCUGUUUUCAUUUCAUGUUAUUUCAUUUUCUUUCUUCUUCAUUUUGUUAUUCUUUUGCUUUUUGUGUUUUGUUUUGACUCUGCCAACGUCGAGAGUGCAGAGGCGUACAACCUGAAAUCACUAAAAACGGGGUUUGUUUCGAAGCGGAGCUAAGGGUUUUAUGCUGUUGUUGCAACAUUUGCCUGAUAGCCAGAUUCAUAUUGGAUAUUGUUUCAUACAUUUUUUUUGUUACCCCUGUGCCGCUGUCCCUGUAUUUCUUUAUGUGCGGUUGACGGUGGAAGAGCGCGACGUGUGGGGACAGUGGAACAGAGGUAGGCAGAGAGGUGAAAAGGAGUCAAAGUGAAAAGUAAGCAGGCCAGCGCAGGCAGUGCGCAAGCAAAAUGUAAAAAUAAUAUUUUUUCAAGUUGUCGGCUUGAACAACUUUUUUUGUGUCUAAAAAUAAAUAUGUUCGGCAAUAGUUUUUUGGGGUCGCAUAUGUGUAUGUAUGUAUGUAUGCAUGUGUGGUAUGUACAUACAUACAUAUGUGUGCGAGCGAUCAAAACUUUUGGCUUUGGAUGAGAGACGCAGGCGGAAAGCAAUGCGCGCGCUUUUCAACCCCCACCCAAUGCCCAACCAUAAACAGCAGCCAAGCAGUGCCGCAGUAGCAGCGGUUGCCGGCAGAGAAAAAAUUCAAUUGUUUAAACUCCCCAUAAACAUUCCCCCACAUCUUUGCAAGCAGUGAAAAUCAAUACUUAAAAUUUAAUAAUUUCUAAUACUACUCUCUUCGCUCCCAGGCAACACUUACCGUUGCUGUGUGAAAGCAGAGUCUACAGAUGGUGUCCAUGACGCUGCUGCUCCUCCGCCUCUUCCAGCUUGACGGGAAAGGUGUGGGCGGGAGCAGGACAACGUGCAAUCACAGAUUUGGUUUUCUCACUCUAGUUCUUGCUGCUUCUGUUGUUGCUUUCGUUGCGCGAAGAAGAGGGACAAGGAAGACGUCAACUAAAGUUACCGGUUCGCAUUUAUUUACUUUACUGUUCUGAUAUUUGUUUUCUUUCAAAACAAAAUUGAUAUUGCUUUUAAAUUUUCCUCUUAAAAACAGUGAGUGAUCGUUGCGAUCCAAGAAAUACAUAAAACUCGAUAUAACAA